AGGGGGGAAAACCUUGUCAUUGCCGUCACUUCAUCUACUGAAUCUUUUCACUGAAGACUGAAGCCACUAAACAUUGGAAGUCGAACUGGAUUGCAAAGAAUAUCAUCAUGAAUUCUAAAUUUAUAAUUUGCUUGUUUCUUGUGAUUUUUACUGUCUCGAAUGCAAACCUGUUGAACCGUCGCGUGAACUCAGACCUUCAAGCUCAGUGCGACGGUGCAGGCUUUAAUUGUUGUGAUACCUGUCCUACAGGAGAUGUUGUGCCUGGAUUGUCAUGCGAUGAUAGUAAACUUUGCUGCUUGGUACCCUGCGCAAAGUAAAAGAUAACGAAAUUGCUUAAAGUUGACGUGGAAAGUAGGGUUAUAUAGAAAGGUGGACAAAUAUCUUCAGGCCUAUAAUAUUAUAUGCCAUGCAUGAUUAUUUGAAUUAGUUGAAACUGGAUUAGAACUUCAAUAAAGAUUGGAACAUCUA
Molecule: long non-coding RNA, 468 nt
Organism: Dendronephthya gigantea
Lineage: Eukaryota; Metazoa; Cnidaria; Anthozoa; Malacalcyonacea; Nephtheidae
Exons: 4
Source: RefSeq, a predicted model, not a curated record